ACGGGAGGCAGCAGUGGGGAAUAUUGCGCAAUGGGGGGAACCCUGACGCAGCAAUACCGCGUGAGUGAAGAAGGUUUUCGGAUCGUAAAACUCUUUUAUUGGGGAAGAAGAAUGACGGUACCCAAUGAAGAAGUCCCGGCUAACUACGUGCCAGCAGGCGCGGUAAUACGUAGGGGACAAGCGUUGUCCGGAAUGACUGGGCGUAAAGGGCACGUAGGCGGUUAAUUAAGUCUGAUGUGAAAGGUACCGGCUCAACCGGUGACAUGCAUUGGAAACUGAUCAACUUGAGUACUGGAGAGGCAAGCGGAAUUCCUAGUGUAGCGGUGAAAUGCGUAGAUAUUAGGAGGAACACCAGUGGCGAAGGCGGCUUACUGGACGAUAACUGACGCUGAGGCUCGAAAGCGUGGGGAGCAAACAGGAUUAGAUACCCUGGUA
RNAcentral lists this ribosomal RNA (435 nucleotides) under uncultured bacterium. Its description in RNAcentral is "partial 16S ribosomal RNA". It matches the Rfam family "Bacterial small subunit ribosomal RNA", at positions 341 to 792 of the family's 1533-position model. The record is from RNAcentral.